Long non-coding RNA from Bombus pyrosoma, 5289 nucleotides. RefSeq lists it as uncharacterized. NCBI's taxonomy places the organism in Eukaryota, Metazoa, Arthropoda, Insecta, Hymenoptera, Apidae. The transcript is spliced from 3 exons. The record is from RefSeq and is a predicted model, not a curated record.
UGCAAAGUAUUAAAUAAAAAAAAAAAGAAGAAACUUAUAAUUCUCAAUGAGAAUUGAUUGUAAAAUACUUCCAAAUAAAAAAAAGAAAUUUUUCAUUGGCAAUACCAGACGAAUCAGCAAGUUUUUUAUAUUUUAUAUAUUUUUUAUAAUAUACACGAUGCCUAAAAUACGCAGAAAGAACGUAUUCGAUAGAGAUAGUAGCGAUGACGAGUAUUAUUUUGGACCUGACAAGAUAGUAGACGACGAUAGUGCUUCAGGCAGUGGAAACAAACUCCUUUCAACAAGAAAUCGGAUCGCGACCUUAAGAUAUCCACAGUUAACCUUUCGGGUGCCGCUUAUAGGCGGCGCUAGCUAGAUGACCUGUGAGUACGAGUGCCGCUUAUAGGCGGCGACCACGCGACGAUCGGCCCCCCCAUAUAUAUGGCAUACACCAGUGCCAUCUGUAGUCAAUAAUGUAUAUGUAAUAUAUAACCUGUAAUUUUGUAAGCCUUUUCAUAUUAAAGAUAUAAAUUAUACUUAUCAUAUUGAAGCAAAGAUUGUUUUAUUAUUGUUUUAUUCAGCACAGUUGUUAUUUAAGACUUAAGAAAACAUUUAUACAGCAAUCACGCCACUGUGCGCAUUUGUGACGCGCGCCUCCGUACAGGAAGAGCACUUAGGCGGAGUGGACUGUCGAAGCGAAGGGGUUAAAGAAGAAAUAUCAAAAUUCAGUAACAGAUAUAAUAUAAGAGUUAACAACCACCAAAAACCAUUAGUUACUCAAUUACUUGACACGACGGAUCAGAUCCGCAGACUAAAAGGACAAUACCCUUUAGAUCGAAGCAUUAGAUUCAACUAGAAUCAAACAUACUAUAAACUCUUAUAAUCCAAGUUACAGUACCACGCCAAAAUACUUAUAAUUCUCAAUGAGAAUUGAUUGUAAAAAGUUUAGCAAAUAAAAAGAGAAAAAAAAACAAGGAAUCGGCUCAAACGUUUCGAUAUUUCUAGUAAUAGUGACAAUGAUGAUGAACCAAAUAUUGAUGAAAAUGAUACAAGCCUCGACAAUGAAUAACGCAAACAUUCAACGUUUACAACGUAUAUUUUCUCAACUGUACGCGCCAAUAGUGGACUCUCGCGUCCACAGCGACGCUCGUUCGUCUGUAAAGGGUAGGAACACCGUCGUUAUCUAGGAUAUUCAAUUCCACUACAAAAAGUACAAGAUAAUCGAAGAAAAGGAGUUGUAAAUUGAAGAAGGACGAGACGGAGAAUGGAAAAGGAGAGUUUGAAGAUGGCGAUAAAAGGCGUAAAGGGGAUAAACGGAAAUGGAGAGGCAUGAUAGUACGGAAUACGACCGGGUCGAUUCCAACGAAUAACGCAAGAAGCGAAGGAUAAUACGAAUACAAGGCGCCGGAAAAUUCCUGCGACUAAUUAAUAACUAUCUUAUCGUGGAUCGUGUUACAUCGAUUUAAUACGCAAAUACGAUUUACCUACCGCCGGUUAAUCGAGAUCGAUUCUAAAUAGUCCUUCUUUUAACAUUCUUCAAAAGUUUGUAUUCUUCAUGCAUUGGCAUACGACAUAAAAGAAAGAAAAAGUAUUUAUGUUUCGAUGAAUCUUGCGAUCUUCUGUCGAUCGAGUUAUGCGUAAUAACUUUUCUUCCGAUUUUUGUCUUUGGUAAUUUUUGAGCAUUUUUUUACCUUACGUUUGUAAAUAUUGCUUCUGAUGUAUUUACCAUAAUUUCAUUACAGCUUAGUGUUAAUUUUGCACAACUGUAAAACGAUAUCAUAAAAAUGCUGUUGAAUUUAGUCGAAAUAAAUUCACUUGAACAAUAAAGUGCGGGAUUUCCAACCGCAGAACAGGCGAUCAAUCGUCUCGGUGGAAUUAAGAAGAAUACAUAGAUUCGACAACAAGCUGCACAAUAAACGAUCUAAUUAUCUACUCGUCGAUCCUCGAUGACCGCUUCCCUUCGAGAGCAAGUCAUUCACACCGACCUUCCAGAGGCGCUCCAGCACGAUUCGCGAGAUUAUUGAACCUGAAUCGGCGAAGAAAACGAGAUUACGGACAUCGUAGCCUUGACCAAACGCGUAAAUCUUCUAUUUGGAUAUUUUCAUUCUUAAUCUAUCGACCCACCAAGGAUCAAUGAACUGCUAUCAUAUUACGUAAAUAAUUUAAUUUGAAACUUUUACUCUUCUUGGAACAUCGAUGGAAAGAAAUUCCCUUCCACAUCGACAAGGUGAUAGUAUCAUAAAGCUAUCGUCAAAUAGAUCUAUUUAACCAAUUUAGAAGUUUCUCUAAUAAAAGUGUUCUACUUUUGGAGUAUUGUUUAUUUCUCAAAUGAAUCGCAGUGAAAAUAAACUACAAGAAAGAAUGAAUGAAUUCUCCAUGAUGAUGUAAGCAUUGAAAGCGACUUCUUUUUGAGAUUGGAAAAUUCAUAGCAAACUAUAGGAAGAUCUAUGGUUCAUAAUACUAGGUUGCUGCAUAAAUUCUACUUCAUAUAUGUAAGCUUUACUUAUAAUUCUCAAUGAGAAUUGAUUGUAAAAAGUCUACCAAAUGAAAUAAAAUAAAAUAAAAUAAAAUAAAAAAAUGUAAACUAUCGAUGUUACGAUAAAUGUAAUAUUCCUGUGUAUGUCGAUUAAUCUGCAAAAUCCAAAGAUUUAGAAAUUAACAUCCGAUUAACAGCUGGGUAUAGAGGCCAAGUAUCAAUUCAUUUCUCACGUCGUUAUUUAUCAUUUGUUCAAAGAAACAUUACAAAUGAUCUUUUCUCUUCUCCGUCUCGAUCGUCUCGGGGAAAAUAUAAAAUAAUUGUCAAUGAUAUACGUGAUUAAUCGUUUUAGUCGCGAGUUAAACAUAGCCUUAAAAGUUGUAAGAUCCUUUCGUUUAUCGAGAUAAGAGCUAGAACGAAACAUAACAAUUCGAGCAUCUCAGCAGGAUCAAAUUACGAUUAAAGGAAACUGGUUGGCAAUCUCGAAACACCGUUUGAGAACCACGGAUCGCACUGAGAGGAACUGAUUAAGAGGUAUUAUUUUGCAUCGCUAUCGAGCAACUAUGCACGCUUAAGGGUCAGAGCAGGCCAUCUUAAGCCGCAGAUAAAUGGAAAAAAUAAGGCGAGCAUACGCGAAGGGAGCGAAAGGUCGGAUUACUCGAGUCCGUUCGAAGAAUCCGUUUCGAAACCAGACGUUUCGUGUUUUGAUGAUCGAACAUCGCACAACGAUGGAAGAAAGUUGAACCGAUACGUAGAUAGAGACACAUUUUCAGAUUAAUUACCGGAAGAAAAUAUACAAUUCAAAGCCUGUAAAUCAACAAUUUCGUAGAACUAAUUUUUUCUCUUAUCCAUAAAUUAUUUCUUAUUCUUUAUUUUAUCUACAAUUUCUAAAUAUAAACUUUUUAUAUAGAUUUAUAAUAAAUUUGGACAAAGACUCAUUUCUUAUAUAUGGCCUGUUCUUCCAUUUUCUUUUAUUUUUUUUCUUUUUUGCAGGUUUUCUAUAAUAAAAAGAAAAUCAGAACUAGCUUCAGUUACAGACAGAUAUAUACUUUUCGUACUGUACUAAUAAUAAUAUUAUAGUAUAAUAUAUAGUAAUAUCGAAGCCAAGGUCCUUUCGAUAUUCCUAUGAAUAAAUCAAUAGACGUUAAGAAUAACAUAAAUGUUGCACAACAGAGAAUAUAAUAUGAAUAGGGGUUAUUAAUGUUAUCUGUCUCCAACAUGACAUUUCAACGACACGCUCAUUUCAGAUAUUUUUUGAAUCUUCUUUUACAGCAAAAAGUAAUGACGACGUAAAAGCAAUGGAAAUGCGAAUGAAUUUUUCAAGAAGAAAAAGAAAGCGGAUUAUGUAAUUGACUGUCCGUUGCAGUAAUAUAUUUUAUUAUUGCAGCAUUUAUCUAUUCAAUUUGAUGGUUCAUUCGAUACUACUUUCUUUGCUAAUUGGAAAAGAAUUCACUUUGAUCUUCGUCAGUCAGAUUAUAUUUCCAAUAAAUUGCCAAUAGAAUAUCUUGUUAAAAUGAUGAUUAAGCGCCUAACAAGAAAUUUAUAAAUACUUCAAGCACAAUAUUCUACUACAAUUUUAUAUGCAUAAUUUACCAUCUUCUUAUUAAAAAAAUUCACAAUUUAUACACAUCUACUGUACUUUAAGGAAUAUUACUCUCAGAAAUACAACUUAGAUACUAUAAAGUAUUUACAGGGACGAAGAAUCAUUGAAAUAAUAUUUAUUAAACGAUUUAGACGCAAACGAGUCACGUAUAUCCACAUGAGAGUGAAAUCAAAAUGUAAAUAUUGUAAGAAGCCAAACAUCGAAUUGAGAGUUAACCUUUCGCGAUCUUGUUAAUUAAUCGUGUUCGAUUAAUUCCGAUAUCGUUCGUUUUUCCCCGAGAGAACGAGAUAUCAAUUACUUGUGAUACUGUACAUAAAUACAUACCAUUUAAAUUUGAAAUAACGUGACACCAUAAGUUUAUUUAAGAAUUACAAAAUCACAUGUUAUAAAAUUUCUCCCUUUUUUUUUUUUUUUUUUUAGUACAAUAGAAGUAAGAAAUUGUGAAAGAAAUGCUUCGCAACUGUACUUCCUGUUCGGCCGCAAGAAAUAAUAAUAAAAAGCGUCAUUGAUCGUGAACCACAAGCAUCGUUACAGAUAAAGACCUCUUGUUAGAUUACUUUGAUCUGGAUAACGCGUGGAACUUCAGAAAGAAAUUAUCAACGCUAACGUAAGAGUGGAAAGAGACAGGAGUAAUAUCGCAAUGGAAAUCACUCGGUGCACACUUCGUCGAAUUUCGAUCGGUAAACAUUCAAACAUGCAAACGCACAAAAAUAAUGGCCUUAUAUCGAAGAAGAAUGGUCGAUCGUGAUAAGCGUACAAAGUACGGAUAGUCGACGAUUCGAUACAAACACCAACGGACAAACCGUUUAAGUCAACAUUAACAUAUAUGUAAUAUUAUGGUGGAAGAACAAUCAAACUCGACAGUGAUACACAACUAUACCAAUCUGUUCUCUUUAUCGACAGUACCAAAGUUUAAAUACACCACUCGAUGUAUACCGGUUAAUUUAAAAAAUAGUCCUUUCUCCGUGAUACGAUUUAUUAUAAUUGCUAAUUUAGUAUAGGUGAUGUUGCACUUCUUAAACCAUGCGAAAUAAAUCAAACGUACAAAAAGAUAUGAGAAACGAAUGAAGAAAUUUUAAACAUAUAACCGCUUCUAACACCUCUUCCUAAUAUUACUUUUUAAGACAUUACACCUCGUAUUUUUUCUCGAACUUUGUUUCACUCGUUUCCCAUAACCAUCGAAACGUACAUUGUAUAUAUUAAACCAUGAUUCAUCAAAAUAUUACGUUAU